AGAGUUUGAUCCUGGCUCAGGAUGAACGCUAGCUACAGGCUUAACACAUGCAAGUCGAGGGGAAACGAUAGAGAAAGCUUGCUUUUUCUAGGCGUCGACCGGCGCACGGGUGAGUAACGCGUAUCCAACCUGCCCACCACUUGGGGAUAACCUUGCGAAAGUAAGACUAAUACCCAAUGAUAUCUCAAGAAGACAUCUGAAUGAGAUUAAAGAUUCAUCGGUGAUGGAUGGGGAUGCGUCUGAUUAGCUUGUUGGCGGGGUAACGGCCCACCAAGGCUACGAUCAGUAGGGGUUCUGAGAGGAAGGUCCCCCACAUUGGAACUGAGACACGGUCCAAACUCCUACGGGAGGCAGCAGUGAGGAAUAUUGGUCAAUGGGCGAGAGCCUGAACCAGCCAAGUAGCGUGCAGGAUGACGGCCCUAUGGGUUGUAAACUGCUUUUAUAAGGGAAUAAAGUGAGUCUCGUGAGACUUUUUGCAUGUACCUUAUGAAUAAGGACCGGCUAAUUCCGUGCCAGCAGCCGUGGUAAUACGGAAGGUCCGGGCGUUAUCCGGAUUUAUUGGGUUUAAAGGGAGCGUAGGCCGGAGAUUAAGCGUGUUGUGAAAUGUGGAUGCUCAACAUCUGCACUGCAGCGCGAACUGGUUUCCUUGAGUACGCACAAAGUGGGCGGAAUUCGUGGUGUAGCGGUGAAAUGCUUAGAUAUCACGAAGAACUCCGAUUGCGAAGGCAGCUCACUGGAGCGCAACUGACGCUGAAGCUCGAAAGUGCGGGUAUCGAACAGGAUUAGAUACCCUGGUAGUCCGCACGGUAAACGAUGGAUGCCCGCUGUUGGUCUGAAUAGGUCAGCGGCCAAGCGAAAGCAUUAAGCAUCCCACCUGGGGAGUACGCCGGCAACGGUGAAAC
This 902-nucleotide ribosomal RNA is filed under the name uncultured bacterium. RNAcentral's name for it is "bacterial SSU rRNA". It matches the Rfam family "Bacterial small subunit ribosomal RNA", at positions 8 to 900 of the family's 1533-position model. The record is from RNAcentral.